AAAGCAAUUGCUUAACGAUUGUAUGCAUUGGAAACUUCUAGUCUAGAGUUUGGUAGAGAGUCCUGGAACUCCAUGUGGAGCGGUGAAAUGCGUAGAUAUAUGGAAGAACACCAGAGGCGAAGGCGAGGACUUGGGCCAAUACUGACGCUUAGGCUUGAAAGUGUGGGGAGCAAAUAGGAUUAGAUACCCUAGUAGUCCACACUGUAAACGAUGGAUGUUAAGUGUCGGAGCGAAUACUUCGGUGCUGCAGUUAACACAUUAAACAUCCUGCCUGAGUAGUACAUUCGCAAGAAUGAAACUCAAACGGAAUUGACGGGGACCCGCWCAAGUGGUGGAGCAUGUUGCUUAAUUCGACGGUACACGAAAAACCUUACCUAGACUUGACAUCUUGGGCGAAGCUAUAGAAAUAUAGUGGAGGUCAACCCAAUGACAGGUGGUGCAUGGUUGUCGUCAGCUCGUGUCGUGAGAUGUUGGGUUAAGUCCCGCAACGAGCGCAACCCUUAUCGUUAGUUACUUUGUCUAACGAGACUGCCAACGUAAGUUGGAGGAAGGUGGGGAUGACGUCAAAUCAUCAUGCCCCUUAUGUCUAGGGCUGCAAACGUGCUACAAUGGCCAAUACAAACAGUUGCAAAUCCGUAAGGUGGAGCUAAUCUGUAAAGUUGGUCUCAGUUCGGAUUGAGGGCUGCAAUUCGCCCUCAUGAAGUCGGAAUCACUAGUAAUCGCGAAUCAGCCAUGUCGCGGUGAAUACGUUCUCGGGUCUUGUACACACCGCCCGUCAAACUAUGA
This 786-nucleotide ribosomal RNA is filed under the name Mycoplasmoides gallisepticum. Its description in RNAcentral is "bacterial SSU rRNA". It matches the Rfam family "Bacterial small subunit ribosomal RNA", at positions 598 to 1407 of the family's 1533-position model. The record is from RNAcentral. Lineage: Bacteria; Bacillati; Mycoplasmatota; Mycoplasmoidales; Mycoplasmoidaceae.